This 631-nucleotide ribosomal RNA is filed under the name uncultured fungus. RNAcentral's name for it is "eukaryotic LSU rRNA". It matches the Rfam family "Eukaryotic large subunit ribosomal RNA", at positions 40 to 647 of the family's 3401-position model. The record is from RNAcentral. Lineage: Eukaryota; Fungi.
AUAUCAAUAAGCGGAGGAAAAGAAACUAACAAGGAUUCCCCUAGUAACUGCGAGUGAAGCGGGAAAAGCUCAAAUUUAAAAUCUGAUGGUCUUUGGCCGUCCGAGUUGUAAUUUAGAGAAGCGUUUUCCGCGCUGGACCGUGCACAAGUCUCCUGGAAUGGAGCGUCAUAGAGGGUGAGAAUCCCGUCUUUGGCACGGAUACCCCAGGGCUUUUGUGAUGCGCUCUCGAAGAGUCGAGUUGUUUGGGAAUGCAGCUCAAAAUGGGUGGUGAACUCCAUCUAAAGCUAAAUAUUGGCGAGAGACCGAUAGCGAACAAGUACCGUGAGGGAAAGAUGAAAAGAACUUUGAAAAGAGAGUCAAAAGACUUGAAAUCGUUGAGAAGGAAGCGGUAGAAAUUUAUUCUUCGGCAUUCAUCUUAGGUUUUCACUUAACUAUUCCGGAGCUAAGGUACGCAAGGCCUGGCGUUGGACUUGGGGAAGUGGGGCUGUGGUGGGUGUUGUGAGGCAAAAUGGGAUUGUAUUUCUGCAAAGGUGCUUGUCGCUUAGGGGGCUUCGGCUCUCAACGAUGGGUGUGCCGGUAGGGGUAUAGUCCGAGGGGCUUUGUGCGAUUUUGCCAAAAUGGUUUUUACCGA